GGAUGAGUUGUGGGUAGGGGUGAAAGGCCAAUCAAACUCCGUGAUAGCUGGUUCUCCCCGAAAUGCAUUUAGGUGCAGCGUCGCGUGUUUCACUCUGGAGGUAGAGCUACUGGAUGGCCGAUGGGCCCUACAAGGUUACUGACGUCAGCCAAACUCCGAAUGCCAGGGUGUGAGAGCGCGGCAGUGAGACUGCGGGGGAUAAGCUUCGUAGUCGAGAGGGAAACAGCCCAGAUCGCCGGCUAAGGCCCCUAAGCGUGUACUAAGUGGAAAAGGAUGUGGGAUCGCUGAGACAACCAGGAGGUUGGCUUAGAAGCAGCCACCCUUGAAAGAGUGCGUAAUAGCUCACUGGUCAAGUGGUCCUGCGCCGACAAUGUAGCGGGGCUCAAGUACACCGCCGAAGCCGCGGCAUUCGCAUAACACACGCAUUGUCCUGCGGGAUGGUGUGCAGUGGUGUGGAUGGGUAGGGGAGCGUCGUGUGGCCGUGGAAGCAGCAGUGUGAACUAGUUGUGGAGGCCAUGCGAGUGAGAAUGCAGGCAUGAGUAGCGAAAGACGAGUGAGAAACUCGUCCGCCGAAUGACCAAGGGUUCCUGGGCCAGGUUAAUCCGCCCAGGGUGAGUCGGGACCUAAGGCGAGGCCGACAGGCGUAGUCGAUGGACAACGGGUUGAUAUUCCCGUACCCGUGUGAACGCGCCCCUGAUGAAUCACUGGUACUAACCAUCCUGAAGAUUCCUUUUUCCCUUCGGGGGAUUGGGGGUUGGAUGCAUGGGACCUUCGGUGGUAGUAGUCAAGCGAUGGGGUGACGCAGGAAGGUAGCUGGGCCGGCUGGUGGAAUAGCCGGUGUAAGCCUGUAGGGCGAGUGGUAGGCAAAUCCGCCACUCAUAUGGCCUGAGAGGUGAUGCGUAGCCGUUGUGGUGAAUUCAGUGAUCCUAUGCUGCCGAGAAAAGCCUCUAGCGAGCUUUCACAUGGCCCGUACCCCAAACCGACACAGGUGGUCAGGUAGAGAAUACUGAGGCGAUCGAGAUAACUGUGGUUAAGGAACUCGGCAAAAUGCCCCCGUAACUUCGGGAGAAGGGGGACCUUGUCUGGUGAUGAGUCUUGCACUCUGAGCUGGGUGGGGUCGCAGAGACCAGAGAGAAGCGACUGUUUACUAAAAACACAGGUCCGUGCGAAGUCGUAAGACGAUGUAUACGGACUGACGCCUGCCCGGUGCUGGAAGGUUAAGAGGACCGGUUAGCUGCAUUUUGUGUGGCGAAGCUGAGAAUUUAAGCCCCAGUAAACGGCGGUGGUAACUAUAACCAUCCUAAGGUAGCGAAAUUCCUUGUCGGGUAAGUUCCGACCUGCACGAAUGGCGUAACGACUUCUCUGCUGUCUCGACCACAGACUCGGCGAAAUUGCAUUACGAGUAAAGAUGCUCGUUACGCGCGGCAGGACGAAAAGACCCCGGGACCUUCACUAUAGCUUGGUAUUGGUGUUCGGUUCGGUUUGUGUAGGAUAGGUGGGAGACUGUGAAGCGGGCACGCCAGUGUUUGUGGAGUCGUUGUUGAAAUACCACUCUGAUCGUAUUGGAUGUCUAACCUCGGGCCCUGAUCGGGUUCAGGGACAGUGCCUGGUGGGUAGUUUAACUGGGGCGGUUGCCUCCUAAAAUGUAACGGAGGCGCCCAAAGGUUCCCUCAGCCUGGUUGGCAAUCAGGUGUUGAGUGUAAGUGCACAAGGGAGCUUGACUGUGAGACUGACAGGUCGAGCAGGGACGAAAGUCGGGACUAGUGAUCCGGCACCGGCAUGUGGAAGCGGUGUCGCUCAACGGAUAAAAGGUACCCCGGGGAUAACAGGCUGAUCUUCCCCAAGAGUCCAUAUCGACGGGAUGGUUUGGCACCUCGAUGUCGGCUCAUCACAUCCUGGGGCUGAAGUAGGU
Molecule: ribosomal RNA, 1912 nt
Filed under: Staphylococcus aureus
Lineage: Bacteria; Bacillati; Bacillota; Bacilli; Caryophanales; Staphylococcaceae
Description: partial 23S ribosomal RNA
Rfam family: Bacterial large subunit ribosomal RNA
Source: RNAcentral